This 30-nucleotide non-coding RNA is filed under the name Mus musculus (house mouse). Lineage: Eukaryota; Metazoa; Chordata; Mammalia; Rodentia; Muridae. The record is from RNAcentral.
UGGAAAUGACCAACAAUUCACCACAUUUAA